CCUCCUUAUACGAUUUAGAACUUAUUUGUUCGUAGUGUCCACACAGAUGAUUGUUAAUUGUAAAGAGAACAACACUUAUUGUUUGGGUCUGUAGCUCAGUUGGUUAGAGCGCACCCCUGAUAAGGGUGAGGUCGGUGGUUCAAAUCCACCCAGACCCACCACUUCUUCCUAAUCUUAUCACUAAGAUUAAAACGAAGUCGGAUAACAAACAAUAAGACCAGCAUAUGUGGGGCUAUAGCUCAGCUGGGAGAGCGCCUGCCUUGCACGCAGGAGGUCAGCAGUUCGAUCCUGCUUAGCUCCACCACUUUACUUCUUAAAAAUAAAUAUUCUUUAUCGGGUAGCAACAUCACCUGAGAAUAGAGUGUGUUUAAUUUUGAGAAGUUUUUUGAUUCUCUGCUCUUUUAAAAAUUUUGGAAAAAGCUGAUAAUUAAAAUUCUGAUUAGAUACUUUGUAUUUAUUCAAGAAGUUUUCCAAAAGUUAAAAAAAGAAUGAUAGCCAGUUAUCAUUUCCAGUGCCCAAAUUUUAAAUCAUUUCAUGGAUUUAAUUUGGGGUAAUCCUUACCUUUUAAGUUAUUCAAUUNUUAAACCUUCCUGGGGCGGAAAUUUUAAACCUGUCCACAUUAACAAAAAACCCCGUUUUUGGGGUUUUUAUGGGUUUAA
RNAcentral lists this unclassified non-coding RNA (659 nucleotides) under uncultured Gammaproteobacteria bacterium. RNAcentral describes it as "partial 16S-23S ribosomal RNA intergenic spacer". The stretch from base 85 to 158 matches the Rfam family "tRNA". The record is from RNAcentral. Lineage: Bacteria; Pseudomonadati; Pseudomonadota; Gammaproteobacteria.